UCAGCCGCCGCGGUAACACCGGCGGCCCGAGUGGUGAUCGUGAUUAUUGGGUCUAAAGGGUCCGUAGCCGGUUUGGUCAGUCCUCCGGGAAAUCUGAUAGCUCAACUAUUAGGCUUUCGGGGGAUACUGCCAGACUUGGAACCGGGAGAGGUAAGAGGUACUACAGGGGUAGGAGUGAAAUCUUGUAAUCCCUGUGGGACCACCUGUGGCGAAGGCGUCUUACCAGAACGGGUUCGACGGUGAGGGACGAAAGCUGGGGGCACGAACCGGAUUAGAUACCCGGGUAGUCCCAGCCGUAAACGAUGCUCGCUAGGUGUCAGGCAUGGCGCGACCGUGUCUGGUGCCGCAGGGAAGCCGUGAAGCGAGCCGCCUGGGAAGUACGGCCGCAAGGCUGAAACUUAAAGGAAUUGGCGGGGGAGCACAACAACGGGUGGAGCCCUGCGGUUUAAUUGGACUCAACGCCGGACAACUCACCGGGGGCGACAGCAAUAUGUAGGCCAAGCUGAAGACUUUGCCUGAAUCGCUGAGAAGAGGUGCAUGG
This 541-nucleotide ribosomal RNA is filed under the name uncultured archaeon. RNAcentral describes it as "bacterial SSU rRNA". It matches the Rfam family "Archaeal small subunit ribosomal RNA", at positions 458 to 997 of the family's 1478-position model. The record is from RNAcentral.